Molecule: ribosomal RNA, 292 nt
Filed under: uncultured bacterium
Lineage: Bacteria
Description: partial 16S ribosomal RNA
Rfam family: Bacterial small subunit ribosomal RNA
Source: RNAcentral
GUGCCAGCAGCCGCGGUAAUACAGAGGGUGCAAGCGUUGUUCGGAAUUAUUGGGCGUAAAGCGCGUGUAGGCGGCUUUGCAAGUCGGGUGUGAAAUCCCUCAGCUUAACUGAGGAAGUGCGCCCGAAACUGCCGAGCUUGAGUACCGGAGAGGGUGGCGGAAUUCCCCAAGUAGAGGUGAAAUUCGUAGAUAUGGGGAGGAACACCGGUGGCGAAGGCGGCCACCUGGACGGAUACUGACGCUGAGACGCGAAAGCGUGGGGAGCAAACAGGAUUAGAAACCCUUGUAGUCC